UGUCGACUUGGUUUGCUUGGCGGCCCUGGACAAACUCUAAAAUGGGUUCAAUCCACUUGAAUUGGGUACGUUUUUGUUAGCUUCUAGGCCCUUAUAGUAACUGAACUGAGCGCAAGCUGGUGCAAACCCGUCUCCAUAACAUCAUCUUGCAGUUGCAGACUACCGCUAAGCAGAAACCCUUUCCAAUGGCUCUGUGUCCUGCACUAUCAAACUCAUUAUUCACGUCAUACCAAUUGAAGCUCAUGAUACCAACCGAAAAUAAGAGUUACCCCGCCAAGCUCACAAGAGGAAUCAUAUGUUGCUCCAAUUCCAAUUCUUCAUUUUCAACUACAACGACGACGAACUUGGGUCCUCCGGUUAUUAAAAAGAGAAAGAGAUACAGGAAACCGUACCCGGGAGAGAAAAAGGGUAUCACUGAAGAGAUGAGAUUCGUUGCCAUGAGGCUUCGUAAUCUCAAAGGCAAAUACACCUGUAAGUCUAUGAACAUUGAUGAUGACGAUGAUGAUUCCCAAAAUUCACAAGACGAGGAAAAAGAAAACUCAGGUGAGGGUGAUGGGGAGAGUUGGGUACCCAGUAUGGAAGGUUUCAUUAGGUACCUGGUUGACAGCAAGCUCGUUUUUGACACUGUCGAGCGUAUUGUUGAUAAAUCCGAUGAUGUUUCUUAUACCCAUUUUAGGAGAUCUGGAUUGGAACGAUCAGGGUGUCUUGCAAAAGACCUUGAGUGGUUUCGCCAACAGGAUAUUGCUAUUCCUGAACCUACUACUCCUGCAGUUUCAUAUGCUAAAUAUUUGGAGGAUCUUGCAGAGAAGAAUGCUCCUUUGUUUCUCUGCCAUUUCUACAAUAUAUAUUUCUCACAUAUAGCAGGUGGUCAAGUGAUAGCAGCUCAGAAGCGUCAUUGUGGAGUUAGGUCACCAUCUCAAGGUGACAUUUAAGUCUCACCACCCACCCAAGAAGGAAGGUCCUUUGCCAGUGACCUUACCCAGAAAAUCCGGUCACCAGAAGACCGGCGAGUGAGGCUCACGAGCCGGUACAAGCUCCUGUCGCCGUCCCACUUUCCCAUGCGUGGAGGCGCAUCUGACGUCCUCUGCCGCUCUGAUGGCUCUCGCCGGCGUCACCUUGGGUGUAGACUGCAUCCCUGUUAGUUGUUUUGUCAUAGGAUGCCUUUGUGGAGGUGAUUUAUCUUGGUCCACCUACUGUUGGUGGCAGGCAAAGUCAUAAAGGAGGCAGUAAAAGAGGGUAUAGUGGCAAUAUGAGUAACCAACAUAGUGAGGAGGUUGCCCCUAAUCGUGACUCUGGAGGAAUUGAAUGUUACUAUUGCUAUGAGCCAGGUCCUACAAAAAGGUAUUGUCCGAAACUUCAGAAUAAGAACCCACGAUCUCGGAUGGCCAAUAUGGUAGUUGAUGACUCUUCAGUAGCUCAUUCUGAUAAAGCAGUUUUAGUAUCUGCUGAAGAAUAUGCACAGUUCUCACAGUAUUAUGCCUCUCUAAAGUCUUCUAGUUCACCAGUCACUGCAAUAACUGAGUCAGGAUCUUACGACGAAGCAAAUUAUUAGUAGAGGGUAUGAGUCUGGAGGCCUCUACGUCCUUGACAAACAGGUCUCUGAGAAGCUUCUAGAAGGGAGAGUGUUGGAAUUCUACAGAUGGGGGGGAGAUGUUCAAGAAUUGUUGAAGAGGACACGUGAUAAGCUCAAUAUGCUUGGAAAGCAUUGGUCUCGAGAUGUGAAAAACA
Molecule: RNA transcript, 1728 nt
Organism: Hevea brasiliensis (rubber tree)
Lineage: Eukaryota; Viridiplantae; Streptophyta; Magnoliopsida; Malpighiales; Euphorbiaceae
Gene name: probable inactive heme oxygenase 2, chloroplastic
Exons: 7
Source: RefSeq, a predicted model, not a curated record